Molecule: ribosomal RNA, 332 nt
Filed under: Teemenaarus sp. LB-2014a
Lineage: Eukaryota; Metazoa; Arthropoda; Arachnida; Araneae; Cyatholipidae
Description: partial 12S ribosomal RNA
Source: RNAcentral
CUUCUUAAGUAAAAAGGAUUAAAACAAUUUUAUUUAAACUAUUAUAAUUUUGGCGACAUUUUAUCUUUAUAGAGGAAUUUGUUUAAUAAUCGAUAUUCCCCGCUAUUUUUCACUUUUAUUCAAAUUAUAUAUACCGCCAUUUCAGAAUUAUUUAAAAAUAUAAUUUCUUAAAAUAUUUCAUAAAAAAAUAGGUCAAGGUGUAAACAAUAUAAAAGAAUAAAUGAAUUACAAUAAAUAAAAUUUCUGGAUAUAAAAAUAAAAAUUUUCGUUAAAAUCGGAUUUAUUAGUAAAAUCUUAAUAAUAUUUAAAUUUGAAAAAUCUUUAAAAUAUGU